Molecule: ribosomal RNA, 372 nt
Filed under: Amanita hesleri
Lineage: Eukaryota; Fungi; Basidiomycota; Agaricomycetes; Agaricales; Amanitaceae
Description: eukaryotic LSU rRNA
Rfam family: Eukaryotic large subunit ribosomal RNA
Source: RNAcentral
UUGACCUCAAAUCAGGUAGGACUACCCGCUGAACUUAAGCAUAUCAAUAAGCGGAGGAAAAGAAACUAACAAGGAUUCCCCUAGUAACUGCGAGUGAAGCGGGAAAAGCUCAAAUUUGAAAUCUGACAGAGUAUUGUCUGUCCGAGUUGUAACCUAGAGAAGUGUGACCUGUGCUGGACCGUGUACAAGUCUCCUGGAAUGGAGCAUCACAGAGGGUGAGAAUCCCGUCUUUGACAUGGACUACCAGUGCAAGUGUGGUCAUACACUCAACGAGUCGAGUUGUUUGGGAAUGCAGCUCUAAAUGGGUGGUAAAUUCCAUCUAAAGCUAAAUAUUGGCGAGAGACCGAUAGUGAACAAGUACCGUGAGGGAAA